GUGAUGCAUGGUGCAGUAUGUGUGAUGCUGUGUGUGAUGCAGGGUGCAAUGUGUGUGAUGCUGUGUGCACUGUGUGUGAUGCAGGGUGCAAUUUGUGUUAUACUGUGUGCACUGUGUGUGAUGCAUUGUGCAAUUUGUGUUAUACUGUGUGCAUAGAGUAAUACUGUUUGCAUUGUGUGUGAUACGGUGGUAAAACAGUGAUGAUGGGUGAAUAGAAAGAUGCUGUGUGCAGUGUGUAAUGAUGUGUGUGCAUAGAGUGAUGCUGUGUGAAUUGAAUGAUGCUCUGUGAAAUGUUUGUCUUGCUAUGCACAUAGAGUGACACUGUGUGCAUAAAAUGAUGCUGUGUGCAAUAUGUGUGAUUCUCUGUGCAUAGAGUAAUGCUGUGUGUAGUG
This is a non-coding RNA of Pelobates cultripes (western spadefoot toad), 392 nucleotides long. Lineage: Eukaryota; Metazoa; Chordata; Amphibia; Anura; Pelobatidae. The record is from the annotation of a GenBank genome assembly.